AUGCCACACUGUGUACCCUCGCACACAUGUUUACACGUGACUUUCUAUGCAAAAUGGGCUUUAUGUAGAUAUAAAAAUGACGUGCUAACAUUUUGUAUAUUUUGUAAGGCGUCGUAUCAAUCAAGAUCGGCUUUACGCGCGGUAUUUUAUGAGCCGACACCGUCAAGAUUGCCACUUCCGGCUUCACCACUACUCGUACACCGUAGAGAAAUUCAGUCCCCACUCCCCCAGAUCCUCGAAGUAGUACCCCGCAGCGAACGAAGCCUUAACAAACCCAACCACCAGCACUACACACUACCCGCGGCACUGCCACUAACUGAUUUCAACCGCCACAUCGACCGCCGGAGGCCGGAGACGGCCGCCCAGUGA
This 369-nucleotide ribosomal RNA is filed under the name Triticum aestivum (bread wheat). Its description in RNAcentral is "partial small subunit ribosomal RNA". The record is from RNAcentral. Lineage: Eukaryota; Viridiplantae; Streptophyta; Magnoliopsida; Poales; Poaceae.